AGAGUUUGAUCCUGGCUCAGAAUCAACGCUGGCGGCGUGCCUAACACAUGCAAGUCGAACGCGAAAACCCCGCAAGGGGUUAGUAGAGUGGCAAACGGGUGAGUAACGCGUGGGUGACCUGCCUUCGAGUGGGGGAUAACCUUCCGAAAGGAGGGCUAAUACCGCAUGACAUUCCGUGUUUGGAUACAUGGAAAUCAAAGCCGGGGAUCGCAAGACCUGGCGCUUGAAGAGGGACCUGCGUCCGAUUAGCUAGUUGGUGGGGUAACGGCUCACCAAGGCUCCGAUCGGUAUCCGGCCUGAGAGGGCGGACGGACACACUGGAACUGAGACACGGUCCAGACUCCUACGGGAGGCAGCAGUGGGGAAUUGUUCGCAAUGGGCGCAAGCCUGACGACGCAACGCCGCGUGGAGGAUGAAGACCUUCGGGUCGUAAACUCCUUUCGACCGAGAUGAAUUCCCGCCGACCUAACACGUCGGCGGGGUGACAGUAUCGAGGGAAGCAGCCCCGGCUAACUCCGUGCCAGCAGCCGCGGUAAUACGGGGGGGGCAAGCGUUGUUCGGAAUUACUGGGCGUAAAGGGUUCGUAGGUGGCCGGCUAAGUCAGACGUGAAAUCCCUCAGCUUAACUGGGGAACUGCGUCUGAGACUGGUCGGCUCGAGGGCAGGAGAGGAACGCGGAAUUCCAGGUGUAGCGGUGAAAUGCGUAGAUAUCUGGAGGAACACCGGUGGCGAAGGCGGCGUUCUGGACUGCAUCUGACACUGAGGAACGAAAGCCAGGGGAGCAAACGGGAUUAGAUACCC
RNAcentral lists this ribosomal RNA (800 nucleotides) under uncultured bacterium. RNAcentral describes it as "bacterial SSU rRNA". It matches the Rfam family "Bacterial small subunit ribosomal RNA", at positions 8 to 787 of the family's 1533-position model. The record is from RNAcentral.